This 465-nucleotide ribosomal RNA is filed under the name uncultured bacterium. Its description in RNAcentral is "partial 16S ribosomal RNA". It matches the Rfam family "Bacterial small subunit ribosomal RNA", at positions 28 to 507 of the family's 1533-position model. The record is from RNAcentral.
GAUGAACGCUGGCGGCGUGCUUAACACAUGCAAGUCGAACGAUGAAGCCCAGCUUGCUGGGUGGAUUAGUGGCGAACGGGUGAGUAACACGUGAGUAACCUGCCCUUGACUCUAGGAUAAGCCCGGGAAACUGGGUCUAAUACUGGAUAGGAACGUCUACCGCAUGGUGGGUGUUGGAAAGAAUUUCGGUCAUGGAUGGACUCGCGGCCUAUCAGCUUGUUGGUGAGGUAAUGGCUCACCAAGGCGACGACGGGUAGCCGGCCUGAGAGGGUGACCGGCCACCACGGGACUGAGGCACGGCCCAGACUCCUACGGGGGGCAGCAGUGGGGAAUAUUGCACAAUGGGCGGAAGCCUGAUGCAGCGACGCCGCGUGGGGGAUGACGGCCUUCGGGUUGUAAACCUCUUUCAGUAGGGAAGAAGCGAAAGUGAAGGUACCUGCAGAAGAAGCAACGGCUAACUACGUG